RNAcentral lists this transfer RNA (72 nucleotides) under Sphaerodactylus townsendi. Its description in RNAcentral is "tRNA-Phe". It matches the Rfam family "tRNA". From Rfam's summary of the family: Transfer RNA (tRNA) molecules are approximately 80 nucleotides in length. The record is from RNAcentral. Lineage: Eukaryota; Metazoa; Chordata; Lepidosauria; Squamata; Sphaerodactylidae.
GUGCGUGUGGCUCAGUGGAAGAGCCUCUGUUUGAAAUGCAGACGGUUUCAGGUUUGUUUCCCGGCCUGUCCA